RNAcentral lists this ribosomal RNA (484 nucleotides) under uncultured bacterium. RNAcentral's name for it is "partial 16S ribosomal RNA". It matches the Rfam family "Bacterial small subunit ribosomal RNA", at positions 30 to 507 of the family's 1533-position model. The record is from RNAcentral.
AUUGAACGCUGGCGGCAGACCUAACACAUGCAAGUCGAGCGGAUGAAGGGAGCUUGCUCCUGGAUUCAGCGGCGGACGGGUGAGUAAUGCCUAGGAAUCUGCCUGGUAGUGGGGGAUAACGUCCGGAAACGGGCGCUAAUACCGCAUACGUCCUGAGGGAGAAGGUGGGGGAUCUUCGGACCUCACGCUAUCAGAUGAGCCUAGGUCGGAUUAGCUAGUUGGUGGGGUAAAGGCCUACCAAGGCGACGAUCCGUAACUGGUCUGAGAGGAUGAUCAGUCACACUGGAACUGAGACACGGUCCAGACUCCUACGGGAGGCAGCAGUGGGGAAUAUUGGACAAUGGGCGAAAGCCUGAUCCAGCCAUGCCGCGUGUGUGAAGAAGGUCUUCGGAUUGUAAAGCACUUUAAGUUGGGAGGAAGGGCAGUAAGUUAAUACCUUGCUGUUUUGACGUUACCAACAGAAUAAGCACCGGCUAACUUCGUG